UUAAACAACAGUUUUGUAUACAAACUAUUACAAAGAGUACUUUUUGCUUGUAUAAUGAUCCUUUUGAUUGGGAUCGUGAUCUAAGUAAAUAUUUGCCUAUUAUGAGCAUCAUUUUAAUUCUCAUCAUCAUCAUGAUACUCAUCAACAUCAUCAACCUGAAUCUAAGUAUCAUCAACCAUCGGAUCAUUUCUAGUUAACCAUUUUAUUAGGAAAAGUAAUUGUUGGUGAUUAAAUUGAGAGACUACGUAAGGAAAGUGACUAAAUCUUGUUUUAGUCCGUCUUUCUAGUGACACUACAAGGUAAGGACAACGGUGGAGAUGAAAAAAGAUGGUGAUGAUGAAAAAGCGAUGAAGAUAAUGAUGGAGAAAGAGUCUCGAUAUACAUUUAUUUAUCAUUUUUACCAUUAACUUUCUCCUUCUGUUAACAAGGUUGAAAAACUGCAUAAUCAAAAAGUUUAACCAAUGUUGCUUGUUAAACGAGUCAACUUGAACCUAAGACUUUACUAUUAUCAUUAUUAUUGAGAGCUGAAAUUCAAUUUGAUGAUUGAUUCAGGAUAAUCCAUCAUAAACUCUAUCAGCUUCAUCUGCAGCAAAAUAGAAAGCUUUCUUGAUUUUCUUAAAAAAACAUCUAAUUCUGUUACAUGCUCUACGAAUUAUCAUCUUCAUUUUCAUUUUAACUAUGUUUAGUUGCUUUAUUAUUAUUAUGUGCUUGUGUGAAAGUUACCAGUUUAUCAUCUGUUAGCCAUGGCCUCACCUAUGGGCCUCAAUUGAAUGCUCAAAAUAUGAAAUGAUUGAGCUAUUUCAAGUAUUAGCCAAUGGAUAAAAUUACACUGAAGGAAAUACGCGAAUGACGGUUCGGAGGAUUUUCUUAUGGAUCAUCUCAAAUUCAUCCACUUUCCUGUGUAACCAGAAUCGUUUUAUUCCAACUUGUUUAUAUUUUUUUGAGAUUACUCUUGCAAAGACCAAUUUAAGGACUUUAAUUAAGAUACAACAAAAGUAAAUUUUGUUCAUUUUGACAACAAUUAGAAUUUCUCAACAGAAUUAUAGAAAUAUUAAAGAUAUUAAUAUUUGAUGAA
Molecule: non-coding RNA, 1075 nt
Organism: Tetranychus urticae (two-spotted spider mite)
Lineage: Eukaryota; Metazoa; Arthropoda; Arachnida; Trombidiformes; Tetranychidae
Source: RefSeq, a predicted model, not a curated record